RNAcentral lists this ribosomal RNA (616 nucleotides) under uncultured bacterium. RNAcentral's name for it is "bacterial SSU rRNA". The stretch from base 1 to 536 matches the Rfam family "Bacterial small subunit ribosomal RNA", at positions 338 to 873 of the family's 1533-position model. The record is from RNAcentral.
CCUACGGGAGGCAGCAGUAAGGAAUAUUGGUCAAUGGACGCAAGUCUGAACCAGCCAUGCCGCGUGAAGGAUUAAGGUCCUCUGGAUUGUAAACUUCUUUUAUCUGGGACGAAAAAAGGCGAUUCUUCGUCACUUGACGGUACCAGAUGAAUAAGCACCGGCUAACUCCGUGCCAGCAGCCGCGGUAAUACGGAGGGUGCAAGCGUUAUCCGGAUUCACUGGGUUUAAAGGGUGCGUAGGCGGGCAGGUAAGUCAGUGGUGAAAUCCUAGAGCUUAACUCUAGAACUGCCAUUGAUACUAUCUGUCUUGAAUAUUGUGGAGGUAAGCGGAAUAUGUCAUGUAGCGGUGAAAUGCUUAGAUAUGACAUAGAACACCUAUUGCGAAGGCAGCUUACUACGCAUAUAUUGACGCUGAGGCACGAAAGCGUGGGGAUCAAACAGGAUUAGAUACCCUGGUAGUCCACGCCCUAAACGAUGAUUACUCGACAUUUGUGAUACACUAUAAGUGUUNUGAGNGAAGANAUAAGUAAUACCACCGACGGAGUACGACCGACGAGUAGUAACGUACGAAGAAGUAGAGGACGAGAGAGNGCGACGGACGACGACGAGGGAGGAGG